This 367-nucleotide RNase P RNA is filed under the name uncultured Paracoccus sp. RNAcentral's name for it is "Bacterial RNase P class A". It matches the Rfam family "Bacterial RNase P class A". Rfam says of the family: Ribonuclease P (RNase P) is a ubiquitous endoribonuclease, found in archaea, bacteria and eukarya as well as chloroplasts and mitochondria. Its best characterised activity is the generation of mature 5'-ends of tRNAs by cleaving the 5'-leader elements of precursor-tRNAs. The record is from RNAcentral. Lineage: Bacteria; Pseudomonadati; Pseudomonadota; Alphaproteobacteria; Rhodobacterales; Paracoccaceae.
AGAUGGCCGGAUGGCCGCGGGGGUCUUCGGACCCACGAGGAAAGUCCGGACUCCAUGAAGGCACGGUGCCGGGUAACGCCCGGCGGGGGCGACCCCAGGGAAAGCGCCACAGAGAAGAGACCGCCCAUGCGCGCAUGGGCAAGGGUGAAACGGUAGGGUAAGAGCCUACCGCGGGACGGGCAACCGGACCGGCACGGCAAGCCCCACCGGGAGCAAUGCCGAAUAGGGACCGCGCGCCGCAAGGCAGGGCUGCCUUCGCCCCAGCAGGUCCGGGUUGGCAGCCAGACCCCGUUGGCAACAGCGGGGCUAGAGGAAUGGUCAUCGAAGGGGGCGACCCCGGAACAAAAUCCGGCUUACAGGCCAUCUG